This is a non-coding RNA of Brassica rapa (field mustard), 165 nucleotides long. The record is from Rfam. Lineage: Eukaryota; Viridiplantae; Streptophyta; Magnoliopsida; Brassicales; Brassicaceae.
AUACUUACCUGGACGGGGUCAACUCGUGAUCAAGAAGACGAGUGGCCUAGGCUACUGACCUCCAUUGCACUGUACGGAGGGGUGCUUAGCUUAAGGUCUUUCCAUGAGAAAGAGCCUACGUCAUUAUUUGUGGCAAAAGGGGGCCUGCGUUCGCGCGGUCCCUAC